GAUGAACGCUGGCGGCGUGCCUAAUACAUGCAAGUCGAGCGAACGGACGAGAAGCUUGCUUCUCUGAUGUUAGCGGCGGACGGGUGAGUAACACGUGGAUAACCUACCUAUAAGACUGGGAUAACUUCGGGAAACCGGAGCUAAUACCGGAUAAUAUUUUGAACCGCAUGGUUCAAAAGUGAAAGACGGUCUUGCUGUCACUUAUAGAUGGAUCCGCGCUGCAUUAGCUAGUUGGUAAGGUAACGGCUUACCAAGGCAACGAUGCAUAGCCGACCUGAGAGGGUGAUCGGCCACACUGGAACUGAGACGCGGUCCAGACUCCUACGGGAGGCAGCAGUAGGGAAUCUUCCGCAAUGGGCGAAAGCCUGACGGAGCAACGCCGCGUGAGUGAUGAAGGUCUUCGGAUCGUAAAACUCUGUUAUUAGGGAAGAACAUAUGUGUAAGUAACUGUGCACAUCUUGACGGUACCUAAUCAGAAAGCCACGGCUAACUACAUGCCAGCAGCCGCGGUAAUACGUAGGUGGCAAGCGUUAUCCGGAAUUAUUGGGCGUAAAGCGCGCGUAGGCGGUUUUUUAAGUCUGAUGUGAAAGCCCACGGCUCAACCGUGGAGGGUCAUUGGAAACUGGAAAACUUGAGUGCAGAAGAGGAAAGUGGAAUUCCAUGUGUAGCGGUGAAAUGCGCAGAGAUAUGGAGGAACACCAGUGGCGAAGGCGACUUUCUGGUCUGUAACUGACGCUGAUGUGCGAAAGCGUGGGGAUCAAACAGGAUUAGAUACCCUGGUAGUCCACGCCGUAAACGAUGAGUGCUAAGUGUUAGGGGGUUUCCGCCCCUUAGUGCUGCAGCUAACGCAUUAAGCACUCCGCCUGGGGAGUACGACCGCAAGGUUGAAACUCAAAGGAAUUGACGGGGACCCGCACAAGCGGUGGAGCAUGUGGUUUAAUUCGAAGCAACGCGAAGAACCUUACCAAAUCUUGACAUCCUUUGACAACUCUAGAGAUAGAGCCUUCCCCUUCGGGGGACAAAGUGACAGGUGGUGCAUGGUUGUCGUCAGCUCGUGUCGUGAGAUGUUGGGUUAAGUCCCGCAACGAGCGCAACCCUUAAGCUUAGUUGCCAUCAUUAAGUUGGGCACUCUAAGUUGACUGCCGGUGACAAACCGGAGGAAGGUGGGGAUGACGUCAAAUCAUCAUGCCCCUUAUGAUUUGGGCUACACACGUGCUACAAUGGACAAUACAAAGGGCAGCGAAACCGCGAGGUCAAGCAAAUCCCAUAAAGUUGUUCUCAGUUCGGAUUGUAGUCUGCAACUCGACUACAUGAAGCUGGAAUCGCUAGUAAUCGUAGAUCAGCAUGCUACGGUGAAUACGUUCCCGGGUCU
This 1372-nucleotide ribosomal RNA is filed under the name uncultured bacterium. Its description in RNAcentral is "bacterial SSU rRNA". It matches the Rfam family "Bacterial small subunit ribosomal RNA", at positions 28 to 1381 of the family's 1533-position model. The record is from RNAcentral.